GAGUUUGAUCGUGGCUCAGGAUGGACGCUGGCGGCGUGCCUAAUACAUGCAAGUCGAGCGAACGGACGAGAAGCUUGCUUCUCUGAUGUUAGCGGCGGACGGGUGAGUAACACGUGGAUAACCUACCUAUAAGACUGGGAUAACUCCGGGAAACCGGAGCUAAUACCGGAUAAUAUUUUGAACCGCAUGGUUCAAAAGUGAAAGACGGUCUUGCUGUCACUUAUAGAUGGAUCCGCGCUGCAUUAGCUAGUUGGUAAGGUAACGGCUUACCAAGGCAACGAUGCAUAGCCGACCUGAGAGGGUGAUCGGCCACACUGGAACUGAGACACGGUCCAGACUCCUACGGGAGGCAGCAGUAGGGAAUCUUCCGCAAUGGGCGAAAGCCUGACGGAGCAACGCCGCGUGAGUGAUGAAGGUCUUCGGAUACGUAAAACUCUGUUAGUUAGGGAAGAACAUAUGUGUAAGUAACUGUGCACAUCUUGAC
Molecule: ribosomal RNA, 484 nt
Filed under: uncultured microorganism
Description: bacterial SSU rRNA
Rfam family: Bacterial small subunit ribosomal RNA
Source: RNAcentral